This 794-nucleotide ribosomal RNA is filed under the name Salmonella enterica. RNAcentral's name for it is "partial 23S ribosomal RNA". It matches the Rfam family "Bacterial large subunit ribosomal RNA", at positions 2009 to 2802 of the family's 2925-position model. Lineage: Bacteria; Pseudomonadati; Pseudomonadota; Gammaproteobacteria; Enterobacterales; Enterobacteriaceae. The record is from RNAcentral.
GGCCAGGCUGUCUCCACCCGAGACUCAGUGAAAUUGAACUCGCUGUGAAGAUGCAGUGUACCCGCGGCAAGACGGAAAGACCCCGUGAACCUUUACUAUAGCUUGACACUGAACAUUGAGCCUUGAUGUGUAGGAUAGGUGGGAGGCUUUGAAGCGUGGACGCCAGUCUGCGUGGAGCCGACCUUGAAAUACCACCCUUUAAUGUUUGAUGUUCUAACGUGGACCCGUUACCCGGGUUGCGGACAGUGUCUGGUGGGUAGUUUGACUGGGGCGGUCUCCUCCUAAAGAGUAACGGAGGAGCACGAAGGUUGGCUAAUCCUGGUCGGACAUCAGGAGGUUAGUGCAAUGGCAUAAGCCAGCUUGACUGCGAGCGUGACGGCGCGAGCAGGUGCGAAAGCAGGUCAUAGUGAUCCGGUGGUUCUGAAUGGAAGGGCCAUCGCUCAACGGAUAAAAGGUACUCCGGGGAUAACAGGCUGAUACCGCCCAAGAGUUCAUAUCGACGGCGGUGUUUGGCACCUCGAUGUCGGCUCAUCACAUCCUGGGGCUGAAGUAGGUCCCAAGGGUAUGGCUGUUCGCCAUUUAAAGUGGUACGCGAGCUGGGUUUAGAACGUCGUGAGACAGUUCGGUCCCUAUCUGCCGUGGGCGCUGGAGAACUGAGGGGGGCUGCUCCUAGUACGAGAGGACCGGAGUGGACGCAUCACUGGUGUUCGGGUUGUCAUGCCAAUGGCACUGCCCGGUAGCUAAAUGCGGAAGAGAUAAGUGCUGAAAGCAUCUAAGCACGAAACUUGCCCCGA